Metopolophium dirhodum (rose-grain aphid) is the source of this 776-nucleotide long non-coding RNA. RefSeq lists it as uncharacterized. Lineage: Eukaryota; Metazoa; Arthropoda; Insecta; Hemiptera; Aphididae. The record is from RefSeq and is a predicted model, not a curated record. The transcript is spliced from 2 exons.
AAAUAAUAGUUAUUAGAAUAUCGUUUACUCUGGUUGAUGUUAAUACAGUUGACAUAAUUAUUAGGUAUUUAUUAUAACAUAAAAUAAAUAUGAUGUGAAAGAUAAAAAAAUAAGUGUGAGUGACAAAUUAUAAUUACAUCAUCGUUUAACUCGUUGAGUUACAUAAAUUAAGAUAAAAAAAAAUAAAAACGGCAAGAGAGAACCAAACUGAAUUUAUAGCAAAAAAAAUGAGUGACCGCAAAUGUCACAUUAUAUCAUAAUUAAACAUAAUUAUUUUAAUAUUAUGAUUAUAACAAACAAUAAUUAAUCCCCAGUGACGAUUAGAUUAAUAUUUUCAAAUCAUUGAAGAUCCGAAAAUGUAACGGUAUUAAUGUAUUAUCGUUGCUAACGCCUAACAGGUACUUAUAUGUACUUAACUACGAAUACGGCGCAAUAUGACUUCACUCAAUAGUAAUACCGUAAUUUUUCCCUCUGAUCUUUAUAUAGUUGGAUGGAGAACAUAAAGUCAAGAUAAUAGCGAAUAAUGUUCGACGUUCGUACUGUUGCAGGUAGGUAACUGCUGCAGAGGCGUUCAUCAAUGUAAAUUCCCAAUGUUGGUAAUUUUCAAAUUGCCGAGCAGCACUUGCUGUACGUUCCACUAUGGUUUUAGUUACAAAUCCCAUGAAUUCCUGCACACUUUUACGUUGAAAGUAACCAAAUGACUGCAGUUCAAAUGCAGAUUUCAAUAGCGUUGAAUCAUUAGGUCCUUUGUACAACACACUCAUAGCAAACAAUUU